RNAcentral lists this ribosomal RNA (1341 nucleotides) under Phytophthora idaei. RNAcentral describes it as "eukaryotic LSU rRNA". It matches the Rfam family "Eukaryotic large subunit ribosomal RNA", at positions 24 to 1155 of the family's 3401-position model. The record is from RNAcentral. Lineage: Eukaryota; Oomycota; Peronosporomycetes; Peronosporales; Peronosporaceae.
CCCGCUGAACUUAAGCAUAUUAAUAAGCGGAGGAAAAGAAACUAACAAGGAUUCCCCUAGUAACGGCGAGUGAAGCGGGAAGAGCUCAAGCUUAAAAUCUCCGUGCAAGUUUUGUGCGGCGAAUUGUAGUCUAUAGAGGCGUGGUCAGCGUGGGCGCUUGGGGCAAGUUCCUUGGAAGAGGACAGCAUGGAGGGUGAUACUCCCGUUCAUCCCUGAGUUGCUCGUGCGUACGGCCCGUUUUCUUUGAGUCGCGUUGUUUGGGAAUGCAGCGCAAAGUAGGUGGUAAAUUCCAUCUAAAGCUAAAUAUUGGUGCGAGACCGAUAGCGAACAAGUACCGUGAGGGAAAGAUGAAAAGAACUUUGAAAAGAGAGUUAAAGAGUACCUGAAACUGCUGAAAGGGAACCGAAUCGUUUCCAGUGUCUAUAAUCCGUGGUAUAUUUCAUUGGCGAGUGUGUGCGUGCGUGUGCUGUGGCAGCGGCUUUUUUAGGCUGCGCUCGGCGUGUGUGCUGUGUGUGCUUGCUGGUGCCCUGUACUGCGGUGGGACGUCAAGGUCAGUUCGUAUGCUGCGGGAAAUGGCUGCCGAGGAGGUAGGGCUUACGCUUGCGUUUGUCUGUUAUAUCUUGGUGGACGAGUAGUCGCGGUUGGGACUGAGGUGCCUACAACGUGCUUUUGAGUGAGUUUGUGUCUCCGUGUGCGCCGUGUGCGGAUAGCUUGCUAUGCGUGUGUGGUUGUGUGUGGAUUGAUGCGGGCUUUAACUUGUUGCCGUUCGGGACGUUGACGAAAUGGAGCGAUUCGACCCGUCUUGAAACACGGACCAAGGAGUCUAACAUGUGUGCAAGUGUUAGGGUGUGGAAACCCCAGCGCGAAAUGAAAGUAAAGGGCAACGUAAGUUGUCUGAGGUAGGAAAUGCUGUGGGCUUCGGUCUGCGGUGUGGCACUAUCGACCGAUCAUGAACCUUCGUGGUGAAAGAUUUGAGUUUGAGCACAUAUGUUGGUACCCGAAAGAUGGUGAACUAUGCCUGAGUAGGGUGAAGCCAGGGGAAACUCUGGUGGAAGCUCGUAGCGAUUCUGACGUGCAAAUCGAUCGUCAAACUUGGGUAUAGGGGCGAAAGACUAAUCGAACCAUCUAGUAGCUGGUUCCCUCCGAAAUUUCCCUCAGGAUAGCAGCAACUUAUUUACGAUAGUUUUAUGAGGUAAAGCGAAUGAUUAGAGGAUUCGGGGAAGAAACUUCCUCGACCUAUUCUCAAACUUUAAAUCUGUAAGACCUGCAGGUUUCUUAAUUGAACUUGUGGAUGUGAAUAUCAAGUUGCUAGUGGGCCAUACGGGGUAAGCUCGUCUGGCG